GACUAGAUAGCCUGGGGGUAAAGGCGUCACAUUGAAAAUGUUAAGGUCCUUGAUUUCAAUCCAGCUCUAGUCA
Molecule: transfer RNA, 73 nt
Filed under: Cronartium ribicola 11-2
Lineage: Eukaryota; Fungi; Basidiomycota; Pucciniomycetes; Pucciniales; Coleosporiaceae
Description: tRNA-Phe (GAA) (tRNA-Phe-GAA-15-1)
Rfam family: tRNA
About the family: Transfer RNA (tRNA) molecules are approximately 80 nucleotides in length. Their secondary structure includes four short double-helical elements and three loops (D, anti-codon, and T loops).
Source: RNAcentral